UCGUCGGUGUGGGACACGCCCCGGACGAGCGCGUCGUACCCGGCAUGACAAGACGGCGUAGU
RNAcentral lists this non-coding RNA (62 nucleotides) under Wenjunlia vitaminophila. Lineage: Bacteria; Bacillati; Actinomycetota; Actinomycetes; Kitasatosporales; Streptomycetaceae. The record is from RNAcentral.